Molecule: non-coding RNA, 513 nt
Organism: Artibeus jamaicensis (Jamaican fruit-eating bat)
Lineage: Eukaryota; Metazoa; Chordata; Mammalia; Chiroptera; Phyllostomidae
Source: the annotation of a RefSeq genome assembly
AUGGACUGGAGCUGGAGAUCCUUCUUCCUAGUGGCAGUGGCUACAGGUGUCCACUCUGAGGUGCAGCUUCUGCAGUCUUGGUCUGAGAUGAGGAAGCCUGGGGCCUCAGUCAAGCUCUCCUGCAAGGCUUCUGGGUGCACCUUCACAGACUACUAUAUGCACUGGGUUCAACAGGCCCAAGGACAAGAGCUUGAGUGGAUGGGAAGAACUGAUCCUUCAGAUGGUGAAACAAAGUAUGCACAGAAGUUCUGGGACAGAGUCACCAUAACUGCAGAUGCAUCCACCAGCACAGCCUACAUGGAGCUGAGCAGCCUGAGAGCUGAGGACACAGAUGUGUAUUACUAUGCGAGAGAUCAAUUUCUUAUUAUAUUAAAUAUAUACUUAACCUGUGUUCAUGACCAGGUGCAGCUGCUGCAGCCUGGGGUUGAGGUGAGGAAGACUGGGGCCUCAGUGAAGGUCUCCUACAAGGCUUCUGGAUACACCUACAUCAACCACUGUAUAGACUGGGUGUGA